Long non-coding RNA from Uranotaenia lowii, 635 nucleotides. RefSeq lists it as uncharacterized. The transcript has 4 exons. The record is from RefSeq and is a predicted model, not a curated record. Lineage: Eukaryota; Metazoa; Arthropoda; Insecta; Diptera; Culicidae.
GCAGUGCAUCAUCCUGUGCGUGAAUUAUUUAACAUCGGAGAAGAUUGUCCGGUAUCCAUGGCCUGUAGGAGUUUAAAACUGUCGGGCGGUGGUUCGGAAAUAAACGAAUAGUUCUAAUGUGAACGACGUUUUGUGGCUAUCCGGGAAUUGCUCAAGAAGAAUUUGCAAGUGCUGAUUUUGCCAGUACCGAAGAAACCAGUGGACGAUAAAGAUUGAGAAAUCUAACCGGUUAAAUUGCCCAAAUUGUCCUGUUUCUGUCCCUGAAGCUCCGUCCGCAGGUCUGGGCGUCAUCGAGUGGGGGAAACAGAUUACCAUUUGUUUACGGGUUCAAAAAUUGCCAGGAAGCCUGCGCCCCUCUGUAAUUGGCUCAGCUGUAUGGAUUACAUAAAAAACGGCACGGAACUAUAAGAGGAUGCUGUUAGAAAAUAUCAACAGAACUAAUCAAUCUUCAAUACCAUUUGAACAAAUUUGUGAUUGUACAGAUUAUAAACGAAAAACCUGUCGUCUACAGUAGAACUGCAUGAUGUUCAAUUGUGAAAUCCUUUCAGUCUAUUAGCACAAUUGCACGGAACAAUGAAUCGAAAAAGCAUUUAGUACCAAAUCAUCACAGCCAGUGCCUGAGAUCUAAAGAAAUG